This 2901-nucleotide ribosomal RNA is filed under the name Klebsiella pneumoniae. Its description in RNAcentral is "bacterial LSU rRNA". It matches the Rfam family "Bacterial large subunit ribosomal RNA". Lineage: Bacteria; Pseudomonadati; Pseudomonadota; Gammaproteobacteria; Enterobacterales; Enterobacteriaceae. The record is from RNAcentral. RNAcentral also lists the same sequence under 1 other name.
UUAAGCGACUAAGCGUACACGGUGGAUGCCCUGGCAGUCAGAGGCGAUGAAGGACGUGCUAAUCUGCGAAAAGCGUCGGUAAGGUGAUAUGAACCGUUAUANCCGGCGAUGUCCGAAUGGGGAAACCCAGUGCAAUUCGUUGCACUAUCGUUAACUGAAUACAUAGGUUAACGAGGCGAACCGGGGGAACUGAAACAUCUAAGUACCCCGAGGAAAAGAAAUCAACCGAGAUUCCCCCAGUAGCGGCGAGCGAACGGGGAGCAGCCCAGAGUCUGAAUCAGCUUGUGUGUUAGUGGAACGGUCUGGAAAGUCCGACGGUACAGGGUGAUAGUCCCGUACACCAAAAUGCACAGGUUGUGAACUCGAAGAGUAGGGCGGGACACGUGGUAUCCUGUCUGAAUAUGGGGGGACCAUCCUCCAAGGCUAAAUACUCCUGACUGACCGAUAGUGAACCAGUACCGUGAGGGAAAGGCGAAAAGAACCCCGGCGAGGGGAGUGAAAAAGAACCUGAAACCGUGUACGUACAAGCAGUGGGAGCACCUUUAUGGUGUGACUGCGUACCUUUUGUAUAAUGGGUCAGCGACUUAUAUUCUGUAGCAAGGUUAACCGUAUAGGGGAGCCGCAGGGAAACCGAGUCUUAACUGGGCGUUAAGUUGCAGGGUAUAGACCCGAAACCCGGUGAUCUAGCCAUGGGCAGGUUGAAGGUUGGGUAACACUAACUGGAGGACCGAACCGACUAAUGUUGAAAAAUUAGCGGAUGACUUGUGGCUGGGGGUGAAAGGCCAAUCAAACCGGGAGAUAGCUGGUUCUCCCCGAAAGCUAUUUAGGUAGCGCCUCGUGAACUCAUCUUCGGGGGUAGAGCACUGUUUCGGCUAGGGGGUCAUCCCGACUUACCAACCCGAUGCAAACUACGAAUACCGAAGAAUGUUAUCACGGGAGACACACGGCGGGUGCUAACGUCCGUCGUGAAGAGGGAAACAACCCAGACCGCCAGCUAAGGUCCCAAAGUCAUGGUUAAGUGGGAAACGAUGUGGGAAGGCACAGACAGCCAGGAUGUUGGCUUAGAAGCAGCCAUCAUUUAAAGAAAGCGUAAUAGCUCACUGGUCGAGUCGGCCUGCGCGGAAGAUGUAACGGGGCUAAACCAUGCACCGAAGCUGCGGCAGCGACACUAUGUGUUGUUGGGUAGGGGAGCGUUCUGUAAGCCUGCGAAGGUGACCUGUGAGGGUUGCUGGAGGUAUCAGAAGUGCGAAUGCUGACAUAAGUAACGAUAAAGCGGGUGAAAAGCCCGCUCGCCGGAAGACCAAGGGUUCCUGUCCAACGUUAAUCGGGGCAGGGUGAGUCGACCCCUAAGGCGAGGCCGAAAGGCGUAGUCGAUGGGAAACAGGUUAAUAUUCCUGUACUUGGUGUUACUGCGAAGGGGGGACGGAGAAGGCUAUGUUAGCCGGGCGACGGUUGUCCCGGUUUAAGCAUGUAGGCUGGUUAUCCAGGCAAAUCCGGAUAAUCAAGGCUGAGGUGUGAUGACGAGGCACUACGGUGCUGAAGUAACAAAUGCCCUGCUUCCAGGAAAAGCCUCUAAGCAUCAGGUAACAUCAAAUCGUACCCCAAACCGACACAGGUGGUCAGGUAGAGAAUACCAAGGCGCUUGAGAGAACUCGGGUGAAGGAACUAGGCAAAAUGGUGCCGUAACUUCGGGAGAAGGCACGCUGGUGUGUAGGUGAAGUCCCUGCGGAUGGAGCUGAGACCAGUCGAAGAUACCAGCUGGCUGCAACUGUUUAUUAAAAACACAGCACUGUGCAAACACGAAAGUGGACGUAUACGGUGUGACGCCUGCCCGGUGCCGGAAGGUUAAUUGAUGGGGUUAUCCGUAAGGAGAAGCUCUUGAUCGAAGCCCCGGUAAACGGCGGCCGUAACUAUAACGGUCCUAAGGUAGCGAAAUUCCUUGUCGGGUAAGUUCCGACCUGCACGAAUGGCGUAAUGAUGGCCAGGCUGUCUCCACCCGAGACUCAGUGAAAUUGAACUCGCUGUGAAGAUGCAGUGUACCCGCGGCAAGACGGAAAGACCCCGUGAACCUUUACUAUAGCUUGACACUGAACAUUGAGCCUUGAUGUGUAGGAUAGGUGGGAGGCUUUGAAGCGUGGACGCCAGUCUGCGUGGAGCCAACCUUGAAAUACCACCCUUUAAUGUUUGAUGUUCUAACGUUGGCCCCUUAUCGGGGUUGCGGACAGUGUCUGGUGGGUAGUUUGACUGGGGCGGUCUCCUCCCAAAGCGUAACGGAGGAGCACGAAGGUUAGCUAAUCCUGGUCGGACAUCAGGAGGUUAGUGCAAUGGCAUAAGCUAGCUUGACUGCGAGCGUGACGGCGCGAGCAGGUGCGAAAGCAGGUCAUAGUGAUCCGGUGGUUCUGAAUGGAAGGGCCAUCGCUCAACGGAUAAAAGGUACUCCGGGGAUAACAGGCUGAUACCGCCCAAGAGUUCAUAUCGACGGCGGUGUUUGGCACCUCGAUGUCGGCUCAUCACAUCCUGGGGCUGAAGUAGGUCCCAAGGGUAUGGCUGUUCGCCAUUUAAAGUGGUACGCGAGCUGGGUUUAGAACGUCGUGAGACAGUUCGGUCCCUAUCUGCCGUGGGCGCUGGAGAAUUGAGGGGGGCUGCUCCUAGUACGAGAGGACCGGAGUGGACGCAUCACUGGUGUUCGGGUUGUCAUGCCAAUGGCACUGCCCGGUAGCUAAAUGCGGAAGAGAUAAGUGCUGAAAGCAUCUAAGCACGAAACUUGCCCCGAGAUGAGUUCUCCCUGAGACUUUAAGUCUCCUGAAGGAACGUUAAAGACGAUGACGUUGAUAGGCCGGGUGUGUAAGCGCAGCGAUGCGUUGAGCUAACCGGUACUAAUGAACCGUGAGGCUUAACCUU